GGGUGACCUUGCUGUGACAUCUGUCCAGUCACUGAUGACCCAGGGUUCAUUCAGUGUCUCUGGCUGGCUAAGUGGUGUCCUUUUCCACAGGUGUGUCCUUCGCAGAGCUCCAGCUGGGUGCAAGAGGAUGACCUUUCUCAAUAUAAGAGAGCCCUCCUUUGGCCAGAGCCAUACAAAAAUGAACCUUCAAACAGGCUCAAAGAAAGAUAGUCAGUGCUAGAUAGUCUACAAGACUUGGCCUUUUCU
This 246-nucleotide small nuclear RNA is filed under the name Dipodomys ordii (Ord's kangaroo rat). RNAcentral describes it as "7SK RNA". It matches the Rfam family "7SK RNA". From Rfam's summary of the family: 7SK was discovered as an abundant small nuclear RNA in the mid-70s but a possible function has only recently been suggested. Two independent studies have found that 7SK RNA binds the CDK9/cyclin T complex (known as elongation factor P-TEFb). The record is from Rfam by way of RNAcentral. Lineage: Eukaryota; Metazoa; Chordata; Mammalia; Rodentia; Heteromyidae.